UAAAGUGCGAAAUGAAGUGCGAUUUGCAUGAAUCUGUGAGUCAUCAUAUCUUUGAACGCAACUUGCGCCAAUUGUUUGGCAUGUCUGUUUGAGAACCGAUUACAUUUGCUUUAAAAGCGAUAUGACCGAGUAUCAUCGAUACUUGGUUGAAAAGAAGCAUGAUUGGUGUGAUAUCAGUGGCACCGUGUGCUAGAGCCUCGUGCUUCUCACGGUCCAUCGAUCAAACCAAAACCCAAAUAUAUCAUCAUACUUUUGGUCUCAAAUCAGGCAAGAUUACCCGCUGAACUUAA
This 290-nucleotide unclassified non-coding RNA is filed under the name uncultured fungus. RNAcentral's name for it is "sequence contains ITS1". The stretch from base 1 to 98 matches the Rfam family "5.8S ribosomal RNA", at positions 49 to 154 of the family's 154-position model. Lineage: Eukaryota; Fungi. The record is from RNAcentral.